RNAcentral lists this microRNA (21 nucleotides) under Macaca nemestrina (pig-tailed macaque). RNAcentral's name for it is "mne-miR-140". Its record names the gene mne-miR-140. Lineage: Eukaryota; Metazoa; Chordata; Mammalia; Primates; Cercopithecidae. The record is from miRBase by way of RNAcentral.
AGUGGUUCUACCCUAUGGUAG